UUUUUUUUAAUUUUUCAUAUUUCGAAUUUUUGAAAAUUUUCAAGAAGAAAUCUUCCAUUGCACAGUAUUGCGCAAUAGAUUUGAAAGAUCUUUGACCACAUUUAUUUUGUUUCAGAAACCUAUAUUAUGUCAAAAAUUUGAUCACAAUCCAAAUUCAGACAGUAUCAAGCUUGAAUAUUGUGUCCAAAUUUGCCCCAACUGUUCAGGGUUCGACCUCUGAGGUCGUAUCAGGCUGCGCUCAGCGAAGCAUUUUAUUCUUUUUUUAACUGCAGGCCAUGGCCACAAACAGAUUUCAUACUGACUUGCUUUUGUUGGGAAAGGCGUUAAAAGCGUUUUACAUUUACAUUAAAUACCAAGAGGUUUAUGAACUGCAUAAGGGCACAUUUGUUUUUCAUAUUUUAUAUUGUAUCUGCUUAGACUUUUUGGAUGUCAAAUUUGUUUUGUACAUUUGACAAUUUUCGCUAUUUUUCACUCAAUUAUUUUAUCUUUUCAAAUAUGUUUUAAUGUUUUGCAAUUCUCUAAUUUCCAAAUAAUUUCAUAUUUUGAUUUUAAUCAUCCAUUCUUCCUUAGACCUUUAUUCAUCACAAUGACAAUCACAUAAACAAAUGUUGAUAUUGUUAGUUAUAAGUAUUUAUGACUAAAUUUUAAGGUAAAUCAAAAUCUCAAUAUGAAACAAAAUAUUACAACCGUCUGGCAAUGGCGUAGCUAUAUUGAAAGCAGUAGGUACAUUAAGGUCUACAUUUGAGUAUUAUAAUUAGAAAAAAAGUUGACAAAUAUCAAGAGAUAAACAUAAAUCAUAUCUUUCUCUUAUUUUGAUUUAUAAUUGAUAUAAGGUAAAUAAUGAGGUCAACAUGUGUGGAAGAAAAAAAAACGGUAAAAUAUUAUACUGAUAUUUUUGAAAUUGAAGAAUAAUCCUGGCAUGAUAAUGAUCAACCAAUCAAUGAAUUAUGAAAUACCACAAAAACACAUUUUGCACGUAUUGCAAAUUAAUCGGAAUAGGAGAAGCAUUUGCACUGACAAAUAAAUAUAAGCUGGUAAAUUUGGCUUUUAUAUGAUAUAUGCAUGUACAAAAACGUAUGUAGUUUGAGAGUUAACUAGACAAAAAUUUAUCCUACGAAUUUGUUUGAACAGAAUUUGAAUUUCUAUGAUAACUCACAUUCCUACCUCGUUUUUAUAUAAAGAAUCUAUAACCACCUAUUACCUCGAUAUUUAAAAUUAUAUGUAAUAAAAACUAUAAAGAAGUAGCAUUGUAAAAAGUAUAAUUUAGUUUUUUUUUGUAUUGCUUUUAUACAUUAUGUACCUUUUAUAUGUCCUUUAUCAAUUGAAUUUCAUGAAUUAUUGUAUACUUUUUUAGAUAUCUUCUAAAAUUAUUGUUUUUAUAAACAUUGGUGGCCUUCGGCUGUUGUCUGCUCUAUGGUCGGGUUGUUGUCUCUUUGACACAUUCCCCAUUUCCAUUCUCAAUUUUAUUUUAAGUGAUAAAAAUAACCUUGAAUUAACUUCCUAAAGUGAUAAGGCAACAUUUUUGGCUAUUAGGCAGGCAUAUAUAUGUUGACCACCAGUAUGUAAUCUGCGGGUUGUUUGCAUAACGACAAAGAUAGCAAAUGCUGUAUUAAUUCACCCAAAAACACUACAUGCACUUUUAUUGAUGGACCGUAAACGUCACACCGUCAAAUGCAUUUUUGUUUUGUAUCAAAACAAUUAUAUAAAUGGUGUUUUCAGACACUAGCUUUUUGUUUUACACUCAAAGCCAAACUGAUACAAUAAAUCUGUGGCUGUGGAACACAGUUUGUUCAUUGGUUAAAUAGAAUAUUUGUUGUAGAACACAGUCAGUACUAUACAGACAAAAACCUAGUAGUCUUAGACUCCGUUACCAUAGUCAGUCGUCUUUAAAUCACUCACACUAACAGUUAACGUUCUAGAAUAUAAUUUAAUUAUAUCAUCACACUUAGCUACGUUUUUACAAAAAUUUAAGCAUGGCAUCAAUAUUAAUUCUAAACCGAAUUUAUUUUGAAAAUAAUAUAUUCAGGUCUAUCACAUAAAAAAACACCAUAAAAUACAUCUUUAAAGUGUUGUAUUAUACAAACAUAAACAUGUUUAAAUAUCAGUAUCUACUAUUGAAUGAAGAUAUCCCAAAAAGGUUACGUAGUUCACUUUAAUAUUUCAAAUUAUUUACUAAAUUAAAAAAAAAGCCAUGUUAAUUGUUUAUUAUUUCGAAUUGCGACGAGAUCGGUUAAAUAAAAAAAUAAAAUUUUAGAUUUUGAAAGAAUUAUUUGAUUUCAGCAUUUCAUAAUCUCUCGUUUGUGCCCAUUUUUCAACAAUUGCAGUAUUACAUGAACUCAAAAUUACAGAAUUUUCAGUAUUAAUAGGGAUUUUGUAUCAGGUUAUUUAAUUUUGUUUUACUUGUUGAUGAAUUUUGUUCGUUCAUAACAUACAUUUUGAGAUUAUUAUGUUGUUAAGUUUGUGUGUUGUUAUUUGAUAUAAUUAUUCAGUCUAAAUAAAUAUGAGAUCUAAUGUUUUA
Mytilus californianus (California mussel) is the source of this 2518-nucleotide long non-coding RNA. RefSeq lists it as uncharacterized. The transcript is spliced from 2 exons. The record is from RefSeq and is a predicted model, not a curated record. Lineage: Eukaryota; Metazoa; Mollusca; Bivalvia; Mytilida; Mytilidae.